GCUGAAACGGGCAUUUUUAUUUUAUAAAAAAAAACAAUGACAAAGAGUAUUAUUUUGAACCCGUUUUGAACCCCCGCACACUCGGUGGGCUUUGAAUUUAUUUAGUACAAGAAAUAAAAUCAUAUAUCAAAUAGCAUUUCUUUUAUUAUAUUCAGCAUUUUCAAAAGAAGAGCACCCUCUUUCUUUUCUUCAUGUGUAUCGUGUCGUAAUUGCUAAAUCCAGAGCAGAGACACGAAGCUCAACGAAGAACCGAAAGAAUCCCCGCUCCACGAACCACGAACCGAAAGCCAUAAUCGCCUGCCCCCCGCCCCUGGGCUCGCGCUCUCUUCGAUCCGCCGGCAAUCUCGAGUUUCUCACUCUUUGGUGUUUACGUUUCCCUUCUGGGGCUCCGUUUCGUUAAUUUGUGUUAAUUUUUUAUGAGCUCUACUGGUGGUCGAUCUUGUCAGAAACGUUUUCAUGUUUGUAUGCAUAACUUGCGUACGUUGGAACCCAGGAACAGGACCCUACCUUUCGGAUUGUACAGCUCCCAGAGCAUCUUAAGACCUGAAGGAUGCAGUCUUUGAAGAUCCACAAUCCCGGAUUGACGUCUCAGAGACAAAUGGGACCAUUAAAAACUGAGAGAAUUGAAUAUACAUACAUACAUAUGUAUAUGUAUAUUGAAUACUCAGAAGCAAAUUUAUUGAUCAAACGAGAUAUGGAGAAUUCUUAACAAGCUCAAACAUCAUCAAUAACCCGAGCAAUUAAAUUUAAUAUCAUUUAAGUGGGGGGCGGAAAAGUCCGAUAUUGAUUUAAAUAAA
RNAcentral lists this small RNA (797 nucleotides) under Drosophila pseudoobscura pseudoobscura. RNAcentral's name for it is "GA32380". Lineage: Eukaryota; Metazoa; Arthropoda; Insecta; Diptera; Drosophilidae. The record is from RNAcentral.